Molecule: long non-coding RNA, 1786 nt
Filed under: Ananas comosus (pineapple)
Lineage: Eukaryota; Viridiplantae; Streptophyta; Magnoliopsida; Poales; Bromeliaceae
Description: long non-coding RNA (ACOM_LNC033185)
Source: RNAcentral
AAUCGAUAUUAUUAUUAAUAAAAAAUAGAUAAUCGAUAUUAAUUUAUUAUUUAUAAUUAAUUAAUAAUAAUAAUUAAUAAUUAUUAUUUUUAAUAAUUAUCAAUUAUUAUUUUUAUGAAUUAGAUAUUCAAUAUUUUUAAUUUAUUAUUUAUAAUUAAUUAUUAAUAAUUAAUUUAUUAUUUAUUUUUAAGUAAUAUUUUGAUGUUAACUAAUUAUAUAAUAUAAUUUUAAUUUCAAAUUAUAACUCUUAUUCCUCUUGUUCCAAUCUAACUAUCCAAACAUUAUUUACCUUAUUCUUAGGAACAACCCAAUUUUCAUCCAAACGCAAAAUUGGUCUAGUUCUUGCUUAUACCUGAACUUGUACCUAUCCCUGGAACUAGCAGGUAUUACUUAUACCUGAACCAAACGCAGCCAUAGAGUCCGGCUGGGAUACUAUCAAUAGCACCAAGCGUUUGGUGCUAUCGAGUUUUCCACCGUUAGAUUUAACCUAUUAAUCAUUUUACCCGUUAGAUUAUACUAUUCAACCAACCACCCACUCAACCCUAAGGGGCCCACAUCAUCCUAAUCGCACAAUUCUCAAUCCAAGGGCUNUCUAGCUCAACUCUAUAUAUAUAUAUAUAUAUAUAUAUAUAUAUAUGUAUAUAUAUAUAUAUAUAUGUAUUACCUAAAUUUCACAAAAGACCUGUUCUCACGUCUCGUGUAAUUCCGGGCAAUUGGCCUGACAGAUUCAAAAACAUAUUACACCAACACCUUUGGAAUUGCAGACCCUCAAAUUUGAGUUUUUGUUUCAUCAGAAUCGGUCGCUGAUUUGCCAGGAUUCCAUCCCUUUCUCGCCUCUACAUAUAUACAUAUAGGUAGCGUUUGGUUCGGGAACAAGGGGGGAAUAAGCCCUUGUUCCCUCCUUUGUUCCCAAAUGUGUUGUUUGGUACCCGGAAACAAUAGUUCCAGAGUUUCAAGAACAAGCUGGUAUAAGGCUGGAACUGUCGUUCCACCAUUUUCCUGGAACAAGCUUGUUCCUUAAUGAGAACAAGGUUAAUUAAAAUCUAAAUUUAAUUUUAAGGCAGUAAAUUAUUAAUUAAUCUAAUUAAUAUAUUUAAAUUAUUAUUUAUUGCUUUAAUAAUUAAAUAAUUAAUUAAUUUAUUAUUUAAAGUUAAUUAAUAAUAAUUAGAUAAUUAUUAUAAUUAAUUUAUUAUUUAUAAUUAAUUAAUAAUAAUUAGAUAAUUAUUAUAAUUAAUUUAUUAUUUAUUUUUAAGUAAUAUUUUGAUGUUAACUAAUUAUAUAAUAUAAUUUUAAUUUCAAAUUAUAACUCUUAUUCCUCUUGUUCCAAUCUAACUAUCCAAACAUUAUUUACCUUAUUCUUAGGAACAACCCAAUUUUCAUCCAAACGCAAAAUUGGUCUAGUUCUUGCUUAUACCUGAACUUGUACCUAUCCCUGGAACUAGCAGGUAUUACUUAUACCUGAACCAAACGCAGCCAUAGAGUCCGGCUGGGAUACUAUCAAUAGCACCAAGCGUUUGGUGCUAUCGAGUUUUCCACCGUUAGAUUUAACCUAUUGACUAUUUUCACCCGUUAGAUUAUACUAUUAAACCAAUAACUAACUCAACCCUAGGGGGCCUACAUCAUCCUAACCGUACAUUAUUUCAUCCAAGGGCUGAAAACUUAAUAGCACCAAUAGCUUGGUGCUAUUAAUAGUAUUCCAGCCUAGGUCUAUACAUAUAUAUAUUUAACCCAUUGACUAUUUUCACCCGUUAGAUUAUACUAUUAAACCAAUAACUAACUCAACCCU